AGCGAACGCUGGCGGCAGGCCUAACACAGGCAAGUCGAACGGAUCCUUCGGGAUUAGUGGCGGACGGGUGAGUAACACGUGGGAACGUGCCCUUUGGUUCGGAACAACUCAGGGGAACUUGAGCUAAUACCGGAUGUGCCCUUCGGGGGAAAGAUUUAUCGCCAUUGGAGCGGCCCGCGUCUGAUUAGCUAGUUGGUGAG
This 200-nucleotide ribosomal RNA is filed under the name uncultured bacterium. RNAcentral describes it as "partial 16S ribosomal RNA". It matches the Rfam family "Bacterial small subunit ribosomal RNA", at positions 29 to 256 of the family's 1533-position model. The record is from RNAcentral.